RNAcentral lists this transfer RNA (91 nucleotides) under Aristophania vespae. RNAcentral describes it as "Bombella sp. KACC 21507 tRNA-Ser". It matches the Rfam family "tRNA". From Rfam's summary of the family: Transfer RNA (tRNA) molecules are approximately 80 nucleotides in length. Their secondary structure includes four short double-helical elements and three loops (D, anti-codon, and T loops). Lineage: Bacteria; Pseudomonadati; Pseudomonadota; Alphaproteobacteria; Acetobacterales; Acetobacteraceae. The record is from RNAcentral.
GGAAGGAUGGCCGAGCGGCUUAAGGCGCACGCUUGGAAAGCGUGUGUACGUUAAUAGCGUACCGUGGGUUCGAAUCCCACUCCUUCCGCCA